This 424-nucleotide ribosomal RNA is filed under the name Niparaya regiscorona. RNAcentral's name for it is "partial 16S ribosomal RNA". It matches the Rfam family "Archaeal large subunit ribosomal RNA", at positions 1902 to 2674 of the family's 2987-position model. The record is from RNAcentral. Lineage: Eukaryota; Metazoa; Mollusca; Gastropoda; Cephalaspidea; Aglajidae.
AAAACAUAGCCCUAAGAACUUAUUUAGGGUGAAACCUGCUCAAUGAACAAAUUUAAAUUGCCGCGGUACCUUGACCGUGCUAAGGUAGCAUAAUCAGUUGACUUUUAAAUGAAGUCUGGAAUGAAUGGAACUACGGGAUUAAGCUGUCUCACUACUUUACUUUUGAAGUUACUAAUUAGGUGAAAAGGCCUAAAAAUAAUAAAAGACGAGAAGACCCUUAGAGUUUUAAUAAGUUUUUGUUGGGGCGACAAGUAAUCAUUUAACAUCACUAGAGCUAUGUGACGGAAUUUUCAUGAAUAAAUAAACUACCUGAGGGAUAACAGCAUAAUCUUUUUAGGUUUGUGACCUCGAUGUUGGACUAGGAAGCCUGUAGGCUAGCCGCUUACAAGGGGGAUUCUGUUCGAAUCUUUACUCCUACGUGAUC